GGAUCCUUAGCUCAGCCGGUUAGAGCAUCUGACUCAUAAUCAGAGGGUCGCAGGUUCAAAUCCUGCAGGAUCCACCA
Molecule: transfer RNA, 77 nt
Filed under: Chitinophagaceae bacterium
Lineage: Bacteria; Pseudomonadati; Bacteroidota; Chitinophagia; Chitinophagales; Chitinophagaceae
Also listed under: 1 other name
Description: tRNA-Ile
Rfam family: tRNA
About the family: Transfer RNA (tRNA) molecules are approximately 80 nucleotides in length. Their secondary structure includes four short double-helical elements and three loops (D, anti-codon, and T loops). Further hydrogen bonds mediate the characteristic L-shaped molecular structure. tRNAs have two regions of fundamental functional importance: the anti-codon, which is responsible for specific mRNA codon recognition, and the 3' end, to which the tRNAs corresponding amino acid is attached (by aminoacyl-tRNA synthetases). tRNAs cope with the degeneracy of the genetic code in two manners: having more than one tRNA (with a specific anti-codon) for a particular amino acid; and 'wobble' base-pairing, i.e. permitting non-standard base-pairing at the 3rd anti-codon position.
Source: RNAcentral